Plasmodiophora brassicae is the source of this 71-nucleotide transfer RNA. It matches the Rfam family "tRNA". Rfam says of the family: Transfer RNA (tRNA) molecules are approximately 80 nucleotides in length. NCBI's taxonomy places the organism in Eukaryota, Endomyxa, Phytomyxea, Plasmodiophorida, Plasmodiophoridae. The record is from Rfam.
GCGCCUGUGGUUGAAUGGUACAAUGGGUCGUUGCCAACGACUUGGUCCGGGUUCGAUUCCCGGCAGGCGCA